This is a long non-coding RNA of Neopsephotus bourkii (Bourke's parrot), 2456 nucleotides long. RefSeq lists it as uncharacterized. The transcript has 3 exons. NCBI's taxonomy places the organism in Eukaryota, Metazoa, Chordata, Aves, Psittaciformes, Psittacidae. The record is from RefSeq and is a predicted model, not a curated record.
UCUGCCAUUUCUGCUUUGUUCUCAAUGCUGAAGGAGUGCAGAACUCAUUGUUUCAUGUGGUAGCUUUGUGGGCUGACUUCACAUGAAAGUGUUUCCUGCUCUGUCUUGGAGGCUGUGUUGUGUUUUCCAGAGGGCAGAAGCGUGGUAAAGCAUCUGGAAGGAGCAGGAAAGUUAAGGUUGUGAGGUCCAGUGAAGCAUGGAGCUGUGUGUGGGGGUGUUUCCCUGAAGGAGUUGCCAGUGAAAUAUAUACAGCUGAGCUGACUGCAGCACUUCUUACUAGAGCAUACUGUCAAGAGGAUGAAUGAAUAGCAUGGAAAAAGAAAGUUAAGAGGGAAUAGAGGCAUAUAUUUAACAGAUGGAAGAGGCUGCCUGAUUGUACUACCUCAGUCAGCACUGUCAUCUUCUGAUAAAUGAAGUGCCCUGCAUUUGCUGCACAGCUGUGGAUACUGGAGGAGAAACUGGAAAUGCAUGUUGCUCAGUAGAAAAGCAAAGAUUAUUUGUGUGAGCUCUUCACUUAUCGAGUGACUCCAAUAUGUGUAGUGGCAGGGCUGCUGGGUAAAGGAUUGGGGUUACAUUCUUCUGGAGUAGACCUUCUUACAGGCUCUGACCUUCCUCGGCUCAUUGCCAGGAAAGCAGUGCAGUUCAGCAGAAUGGAGCCUCAAGAUACAUUCCCAGUCACAAACGCCUUAUUUAAUAUAGCAGAAAUAUAACAAAUUUACUUGCAGGGCUCAGUUCCUUUAGAGUGACUUAGAAAUGGUCUGGAUUACAUGAUAAUUUAGUGUACUUAGAAAAAAAAGUAUCUUUCAAUCAACUUUAAAUAUGGAAAAAAUUCUUUUUAGUAUGAAAUUAUCACUACUAGCAUGACUAAUUUUGUUCAGUAGAAAAUCUCCAUAGAUACAGUAAUUUACCUGUUAUAUCACUUUAUUGUAUCUUUCUUACACCUGACCUUUGUGAGCUGAUAUUAGUUACAUGGUACUUCAGCCUUUCUUACAGUCCCAGAAUGUAUUUUCCUAUCCAGAUCUUUUGAGAUCUGUAUAUCUACUGUAGUAUAAUGUCAUGUGGAAUAAGACCUCACUUUUCCAUUGGAAGCUUGUAUCAGUCUUGUGACUUUACAUGAAGUAGAAUGUAGAUAAUAGAUGCAAACUCAGCUAUAGCAUCAGUCAAUUAAAAUGCUUGCCUGGUUGUAAGGUUUUACAGGUGCUUCAGAGACAUGCUUUAAUUACAGGAGAGUUGUUUCAGAAUGGUCUUAUAUGUGAUAGAAUAGUGCUUGGAGGUGCAGCACAGAUCAGAGCUUUUCUGGUGUACCUGCAGUGCAGACUCAGUAAAAAUUUAAAAAGCCAAGAGAAACGUGAGUGAUAAAAAGGAACUGGGGAAAACUGUUUUACAAGUGGGGAAGCUGGGGAAGCUGUGGUAUGUUGGCCAAGGCAUUGAUUGCAUCUGGGCUGGAUUCUUCAUUUGGCACUUUCACAAUAACAGAAUAGCUUCUCUUGAGGGAGAGGUAGUUUUUGAAGAACAGACUUUGAAACAUUACUUUUUUUUUUUUUUUCCUUCUUUAUCAGAAGAUGAUUUUUAAGCUGUCUCUGUAUUUUAUCAUGACUGGCCAGUCUGGAAUUUAAAACACAACUCAGUAAUAGAAAUUGCUUAUUUUUUUAACUCCAUAGUACACCCUGUUCAGAAAUGUUCUUGGGGAUGGCAAUGCUUAUAUGUGGAUCAUUAACUAAGCAUUCGAGGUACUCUGACCUAACCCACUUUCAUAGGGUUAAAUUAAAUAGAAAUCACAAAAUAACUAACUUAACAGAUCUUUUCACCUCAGUCAUUUUGUACUUGUGUUGGUGGAAUUAGACAUUGCAGUAGACAAGGUGAUUUCUUCAGGUAAGAAAAAACUUUACAUCAUGUCAGGAAAAUAACUGCUUUUGAAAGUGAAGGAAGCCAGGAAGACUACAGUGAUGGUGAAUCACUUUAAGCAUAGGUUGUGUAAUGCACUUAGAAUUGAAGAUCUGGCUUGUGCAAAUAAAAACAACUUGGAUAACAUCCAUGAGACCUCUGCUGCCUGAAAAGCCCAGGUCAGAAAUGAAGUACAGUGGUGACAGCAUUUUAAGUUCAUUAGACAUUGGCUGUUUGAUUGAAGACUAGAGGCAUAGUUGCAUGCAUCUCUGGGCAUUUCUUAUUGUCUGCUUAGCAGAGACACAGUAGAGGAGAAAGUGAAUCUCUUUCUAACAUCUUCUCCAUCAUCUACUUUACCUUUACCAGAGGACGGGAAGGCAGGCCUGACUGCCUCCUGUCUCUGAGCACAACAAACAAAAGGUCCCAUGCAGAUUUUGUACUCAAGCCAACAUGUGCAAAUUCUGGGGCUAGAAAUGUCACUAGUGCCUAGCAAUAUACACUCAGUGAAUCCCAUUUCCAACACAGAAUCUCACCAUUCCAAUAAGAAUUGUCCCUUUUCACAGGACAUAGAA